ACAAAAAGUCUUGUCAUUCAUACAUACUAAAUUGCUGGUAGGAGAUCAUAGACUCAAUUGUAAGCUCACUGAUAAUCAGGCAGAAAGGGAAUAUGUUAGGCCAUCCCUGAUGUUUUAACUGUAUGCAUAAAAAAUAGCUCCUUGAGGGAAACAUGAGUUUUUUCCUAGGGAUCCUCAUAAAAGCUUGAGGCUUACCUAAGAAUGUUCCUAUAAUACUCAAGUCAAAAACUACAGUAACAGAAUCAUAAGCUGACUGUAUUUUCUCUAGUCCAGUGAUGGCAGAUCUUUUCCCCCUCAAAGGUAUAAGUCAGGAACUUUUUCAUUUUAAUAAAAGUAAAAACUCAUAUAUUCAGAAUUUUCUCAAUAGAAACACCACUUACCUAGCACUUCUUUAAUUCAUCACACUAUAAGAAUAGUUGAAUCAGAAAUAAAAGAGAUUUUACAGAUCAUUUAGCACAGUCCUUUAUUUCACAGAUGAGGAAACUGAAGCAGAGAAAAGUGAAGUGAUUGCCCACAUCCAACUACAAGAUGAGGAUGAGGAUCCAAGAACUCAGACCAUUUGCUGACAUGCAUACAGACUUUAAAAGUCCCCUGAAGUUCUCAACAAGACCACUCUAAGUUGUUCACUUCUCUUCUGAAC
Castor canadensis (American beaver) is the source of this 640-nucleotide non-coding RNA. The record is from RefSeq and is a predicted model, not a curated record. NCBI's taxonomy places the organism in Eukaryota, Metazoa, Chordata, Mammalia, Rodentia, Castoridae.